AUAGUCGAAUUCACAUCAAUCCAUAUGUAUUGGGUGGGUUGAAGUGGAACUUGAACUAAAUUCCACUCAAUCCACUCCGACACAUGUGGAUUGAGGUAAAUCCGACA
Molecule: microRNA precursor, 107 nt
Organism: Sorghum bicolor (sorghum)
Lineage: Eukaryota; Viridiplantae; Streptophyta; Magnoliopsida; Poales; Poaceae
Rfam family: MIR5565 microRNA precursor family
Source: Rfam